ACAAAAUAGAAGACAAGUUCACCCUAAAUUCCUAAUCUUCGUUUACAGCCUCGCUCUCAAUCUCUCAGUCUCACUCGUCACUCACCGUCACCAUAGCCGACGCCGCCUCUCCGAUAGUCAACGGUGCUCUUAAUCUCUCUUGUCUCUCAGUCUUCUCUCACAGCCUCGCUCUCAACAAAUAAUUAGAAAUAUUUAGUGCAUCUCUCUCGCUCUCAAUCUCUCACACACUUGCCAGCCCCCGCUUCUCCAGUAGUGCACGGUGAAAGCCCAAAGGUCGUCGCCACCGGCCAGGACCAAUAUUUAAGGCACAGCUCAUGUCGAAGAUUGCUGAGAAGAAAAUUAAGGAGGCCGAUAGGAUGGUUUCACACACUGCUUAGUUAGUGAUUAUUUUUUAUUUAUUUUGGGAAAUGUAUUGGAUUUUUAGGUGUUUUAGAAUUUUGGAUUUGGAUUUUGUACGAAUAUUGUUACAUUUUAGAGUUUAAUUAAUAAUGAUUAUUGGAGUUAUUUGA
This is a long non-coding RNA of Olea europaea var. sylvestris, 509 nucleotides long. RefSeq lists it as uncharacterized. Lineage: Eukaryota; Viridiplantae; Streptophyta; Magnoliopsida; Lamiales; Oleaceae. The transcript is spliced from 2 exons. The record is from RefSeq and is a predicted model, not a curated record.